CGAGCCGGCCGGGUGACCGCGGGCCGCAAGGCCUGAGGAAAGUCCGGACUCCGCAGAGCACGGUGGUGGGCAACACCCACCUGGGGCGACCCACGGGACAGUGCCACAGAGAGCAGACCGCCCUCCCUCGCGGGGGGUAAGGGUGAAAGGGUGGUGUAAGAGACCACCAGCGGCCUGGGUGACCAGGCCGGCUAGGCAAACCCCACCGGGAGCAAGGCCAAGAAGGCCCUUCGGGGCUGCGUCGGCGCUCGAGGGCUGCUCGCCCGAGCCGACGGGUAGGCCGCAGGCCGCAAGGCCAAGGCGCCUGGCAACAGGCGUCGCAGAUGGAUGGUCACCGCCCGCAAGGGCACAGAAUCCGGCUUACAGGCCGGCUCGUCCC
This 379-nucleotide RNase P RNA is filed under the name Propionibacteriaceae bacterium. RNAcentral describes it as "RNase P RNA component class A". It matches the Rfam family "Bacterial RNase P class A". From Rfam's summary of the family: Ribonuclease P (RNase P) is a ubiquitous endoribonuclease, found in archaea, bacteria and eukarya as well as chloroplasts and mitochondria. The record is from RNAcentral. Lineage: Bacteria; Bacillati; Actinomycetota; Actinomycetes; Propionibacteriales; Propionibacteriaceae.